AUGCAGAAGGAUGCCGCCGAAAAGAAUGGAACGCUACUUCGCUCUGCUGGAUGCGUCGGAACCCAUAUAAGAAGCUCGCUCUUUACCCGAUCAUUCAAACAUUUUGUGGGCGGCGCGCCUGCUCCAUUGUUGCGUAGCAAUAGAAGCCUGCUCAUGCAGCUUCGGUGGCGCUUUUUCGCCUUCUCUUCACUUUGGACAGGAGCGCUAAUGGACACGGGGAGGGAGCAGGCGAAGCGUGUCGUUCGUAAUGGAAAGAAAGACACCACUACUUCGGCUCUUUGUUGGACCGCCGGCGCGAACACGGUGGUCUCUGACCAGGACCAGGAACCAAUUCGAAUUUGGAUCUUGACAUGUCGAUUGUUUUCCUAA
RNAcentral lists this ribosomal RNA (369 nucleotides) under Triticum aestivum (bread wheat). Its description in RNAcentral is "partial small subunit ribosomal RNA". Lineage: Eukaryota; Viridiplantae; Streptophyta; Magnoliopsida; Poales; Poaceae. The record is from RNAcentral.